AACGAACGCUGGCGGCAGGCCUAACACAUGCAAGUCGAACGCCCCGCAAGGGGAGUGGCAGACGGGUGAGUAACACGUGGGAACGUGCCCUAAGGUUCGGAAUAUUCCCGGGAAACUGGGAGCAAUACCGAAUGUGACCGCAAGGUGAAAGAUUUAUCGCCUUAGGAUCGGCCCGCGUCGGAUUGCUUGUGGUGGGGUAAAAGCCUACCAAGGCGACGAUCCGUAGCUGGUCUGAGAGGACGACCAGCCACACUGGGACUGAGACACGGCCCAGACUCCUACGGGAGGCAGCAGUGGGGAAUCUUGGACAAUGGGCG
Molecule: ribosomal RNA, 317 nt
Filed under: uncultured bacterium
Lineage: Bacteria
Description: bacterial SSU rRNA
Rfam family: Bacterial small subunit ribosomal RNA
Source: RNAcentral